CAGCCGCCACGGGAAUACGUAGGUGGCAAGCGUUGUUCGGAAUCACUGGGCGUAAAGCGCACGUAGGCGGAUACUUAAGUCAGGGGUGAAAUCCCGGGGCUCAACCUCGGAACUGCCUUUGAUACUGGGUAUCUUGAGUCCGAGAGAGGUUGGUGGAACUCCGAGUGUAGAGGUGAAAUUCGUAGAUAUCCGGAAGAACACCAGUGGCGAAGGCGGCUAACUGGCCCGGUACUGACGCUGAGGUGCGAAAGCGUGGGGAGCAAACAGGAUUAGAUACCCCAGUAGUCCCUGUCUCUUAUAC
RNAcentral lists this ribosomal RNA (301 nucleotides) under uncultured bacterium. RNAcentral's name for it is "partial 16S ribosomal RNA". It matches the Rfam family "Bacterial small subunit ribosomal RNA", at positions 509 to 807 of the family's 1533-position model. The record is from RNAcentral.